UUAUAAUACAACCUGAUAAGU
RNAcentral lists this microRNA (21 nucleotides) under Canis lupus familiaris (dog). Its description in RNAcentral is "cfa-miR-374a". Its record names the gene cfa-miR-374a. RNAcentral also lists the same sequence under 3 other names. Lineage: Eukaryota; Metazoa; Chordata; Mammalia; Carnivora; Canidae. The record is from miRBase by way of RNAcentral.